This is a non-coding RNA of Cinara cedri, 440 nucleotides long. Lineage: Eukaryota; Metazoa; Arthropoda; Insecta; Hemiptera; Aphididae. The record is from the annotation of a GenBank genome assembly.
GAGCUACGCCGAGCCAAUAUAGUGUGUGUUAGUUAUAGUGUGUACAGUGAGCGAGCGCAGCGGUGGUGAGUGCACGCGCGUUACGGCGGGUUUGACAAUAAUAUAAUAUUUAUGCGGCCGCGCGUGUCGUGUGCGGGACAACGUCUCGCGCGUCGUCGUCGGAAACAAUUCUAACGGCAAUAACGACAACUGCAGUGUAACGACGAGAUAAUANUUUUUUUUUUUUUUUUUUUUUUAUUUUUUUUUUCUAUUUGAUCGCUAAAAAAUUUUUCCAAUUUUUCGAACGCGUCUCCGAAGGCGACCACCGAACUCGCGAACUCGCGCGUAACGAAAACAAAAACAGCGUCCGGCCGUCGCAGCCGUCGCAGCAGCCUCCGUCGCCGUCGCAUAGUCUGCUGCCGUCCGUCGCGCGCGCCCCCUUUCCGGUCGGUCGGCGGCCG